GUGGGGAAUUUUGGACAAUGGGGGCAACCCUGAUCCAGCCAUGCCGCGUGCGGGAAGAAGGCCUUCGGGUUGUAAACCGCUUUUGUCAGGGAAGAAAUCCUUUGGGUUAAUACCUCGGAGGGAUGACGGUACCUGAAGAAUAAGCACCGGCUAACUACGUGCCAGCAGCCGCGGUAAUACGUAGGGUGCGAGCGUUAAUCGGAAUUACUGGGCGUAAAGCGUGCGCAGGCGGUUUUGUAAGAUCGAUGUGAAAUCCCCGGGCUCAACCUGGGAACUGCAUUGGUGACUGCAAGGCUGGAGUGCGACAGAGGGGGAUGGAAUUCCGCGUGUAGCAGUGAAAUGCGUAGAUAUGCGGAGGAACACCGAUGGCGAAGGCAAUCCCCUGGGCCUGCACUGACGCUCAUGCACGAAAGCGUGGGGAGCAAACAGGAUUAGAAACCCUUGUAGUCC
RNAcentral lists this ribosomal RNA (450 nucleotides) under uncultured bacterium. Its description in RNAcentral is "partial 16S ribosomal RNA". It matches the Rfam family "Bacterial small subunit ribosomal RNA", at positions 354 to 796 of the family's 1533-position model. The record is from RNAcentral.